AGCCAUGCAUGUUUCCGCAAUCAGGGACGAAUAGCUCAGUAAAACUGCGAUGAUUUAGUCUGGCUGUGUAGAUAACUACGUGAAAAUGUAGCUAAGGGAAGGCAGAAUAAGACGCAGGACUAUCAGUUAGUUGGUAGUGUAAUGGACUACCAAGACAGUGACGGUUGACGGGAAAUUAGGGUUUUGUACCGGAGAGGGAGCCUGAGAGAUUGCUCCCACGUCCAAGGACGGCAGCAGGCGCGAAAAUUGCCCACUCUUUGCAGGAGGCAGUUAUGAGACGUGAAGAUGAGUAUCUUGUAAAGAGGGAUAGGAGAAUUGGAGGGCAAGUUUGGUGCCAGCAGCCGCGGUAAUACCGACUCCAAGAGUGUGUAUGAGAGAUGCUGCAGUUAAAAAGUCCGUAGUCAUAGAAGGGCAAAGAGAGACGCGAGGUCUCACAGUGCGAUGAUGGAGGAGCCGAUGGGGAACAUAGUAUACCAGGCGAGAGAUGAAAUGCCAAGACCCCUGGUGGACUGAGCGAGGCGAAGGCGAUGUUCUUGUAGGCAUUCGGUGAUCAAGGACGAAGGCUGGAGUAUCGAAAGUGAUUAGAUACCGCAGUAGUUCCAGCAGUAAA
This 610-nucleotide ribosomal RNA is filed under the name Vittaforma corneae. RNAcentral's name for it is "SSU rRNA". It matches the Rfam family "Microsporidia small subunit ribosomal RNA", at positions 46 to 689 of the family's 1311-position model. The record is from RNAcentral. Lineage: Eukaryota; Fungi; Microsporidia; Nosematidae.